UACAGAGGGGGCAAGCGUUGUUCGGAAUUACUGGGCGUAAAGGGCGCGUAGGCGGCCUGUUAAGUCGGACGUGAAAUCCCUCGGCUCAACCGGGGAACUGCGUCCGAUACUGGCGGGCUUGAAUUCGGGAGAGGGAUGUGGAAUUCCAGGUGUAGCGGUGAAAUGCGUAGAUAUGUGGAGGAACACCUGUGGCGAAGGCGCCUUGCUGGCCAAUUUCUGACGCUGAGGCGCGAAAGCGUGGGGAGCAAACAGG
RNAcentral lists this ribosomal RNA (253 nucleotides) under uncultured bacterium. Its description in RNAcentral is "partial 16S ribosomal RNA". It matches the Rfam family "Bacterial small subunit ribosomal RNA", at positions 524 to 776 of the family's 1533-position model. The record is from RNAcentral.